UUUUUUUUCUUUUAUAUUAAUAUUUGAUGGUAAGUACGUAAGUAUAUUAACUUCACGAUUUGUUUUGUUUUUGUUAGUUGCUAGGGAAGUUGCAGGCUGCGUCAAUACUUGUGUAGGGAGAUGCGCCAUGAAGAACUGAUGAUAAUCACCUAUGCACGAAAUUAUAAUAAAAUGCCUUUAAUUACAUUUAGCCUGAAUGAAAAAAAAAACAUAAUUUGGUUGCUGUUGUAUUUUCAGUUUUAUAUUUACAAGUGAACAUAGAUUUAGAGUGUAUGAUUUGAGUUUGGUUGGUUCUUAAACAGAUGGAUGAUAAUAAAAAUGAGUUUCAAAAUAAUGGUGAUCUAAGCAUUUCGUAGUAAUGGCUUAUAGUUACCUACGGAUUAGAUAAUUCAGUUACAUUACUACAAUGCUAUUACGCUGUUAAUGAUCCUCUGGAUAUCCGUUUGAAGUACCCGUUUUAGACUCAAUAUCCAAACACGCACAUGGGGACUCAUGACUUUUCAAAGAUCCUCCAGAUACAUGAAAAACAAAAACGAACAUAUUCGUGUUAAACAUGUGCCUACAUUUGAAACUCAUACCCGAGUUCGAGUGAACAUAGAUUUAGAGUGUGUGAUUUGAGUUUGGUUGGUUCUCAAACAGAUGUAUGGUGAUAAAAAUGAGGUUCAAAAUGCUGGUUGAUCUAAGCAUUAGGUAGUAAUGGCUUAUAGUUACGUCCGGAUUAGAUAAUUCAGUUACAUUACUAUAAUGUGAUUACACCUUGUUAAAGAGAUGAGAAAAAUCUAUAGUGUUGCCUAUAUACGGACUCCAGUUGCUGCUAAGGUUGUAAAAUUUGCUUAUUGUCCUUGAUUGAGUUAUGGUCUUAGAUGUAAUUUUUCUUUCGUUUUUGAUAUGUAUAUAUAUAUUUGCGGAGACUGCAUUUAGCGCAUUUUUUCUUAUUAUUUUUCUAGAUUGCUUCUUUGCUUUAAAGGUUUGGAAUGUACGGCAAGCAGGUGCUUCUGCAAUGCUUGUUGCGGAUGAUAUUGAAGAAGCAUUAAUAACCAUGGACAAUCCUGAAAAGGACAGUUCAUCUGCCAAAUACAUUGAAAAUAUAACAAUUCCAUCUGCCCUUAUCGAGAAAACUUUUGGUAAAACUCUAACCCUGAUGAUCGUGACGAGUACGAGUUAUGGACCAACAGCAAUGAUGAAUGUGGAGUUAAAUGUGAUAUGCUGAUGGCAUUUGUGAAGGAUUUCAGGGGUGCUGCUCAGAUUCUCGAAAAAGCUGGCUAUACGCACUUCACACCCCAUUAUAUAACUUGGUACUGCCCUCAAGCUUUCACCCUAAGCCGACACUGCAAAUCUCAAUGCAUCAACCGCGGAAGAUACUGUGAAGGUGAGAAUCAAGAUUUUAUUUGCACGGAUUAAGUGUUUACUUCGAAGGUAUUGUUUAAAAUAUGAAGUUAAAGAUUUAGUGUUCAUUUGUGAUUCAUGUCUUAUGAGACAGAAGAUUGACAAUCAGAAUAUUUGGGAUGGUUAGAAAGAAUUUAGAUUGUUAGGAAGAAUUCUAAAAAAAGGACAAGAUAUUAAAGCAUUUCUUUUGGCAUGACAAAUCCAUUUUGUCGAAACUAUUUUUUUGAAAAAACAAAAAUUUUAGGUUGUCGACUUUAAAAAAUGAAAAUUGGGAGUCGCCACCAAUCUUUUAUUAAGGUGUGAUUGAAUCACCUAAAAAAACGGCUUUGGUCUACGAGUUUUAGAAAAACGGAUCCGGAAGUCAGUUACGUUCGAGGAAGGAUUAGCACAUUCGUAAUGCUCAAAAAUUGGUACCUAAUUAAUUAAUUAAUGUCUUAAUGUCGAAAAUUUGAAAAAUAUAAUCCUUAGCAAAAACUCUUAAACGUUACGUAUUAAGACCCUUAUCAUUUCAGAGAAAGAAAAUGCCACAACCAAUGCGUUAGGGCACGACAUUCUAAUUUCCUCAAAAAUGAAUUAGGCCAGAAUACUUGUGUAAUAAAAAUUUAAAAGAAUAUCCAUUUAUUCAAGAUUUAAAAAAUCGCGGCCCAAUACGUUAGGGCACAAUUCCUCCAAAAUCCCAAACUCGGAAUAUUUCCUUUAUUAUUUUUAGAAAAAAUCUUCAUUUCGAGAAAUCAAUGCGUCACAUCCAAUACGUUAGGACACAAUGUGUUGAAUUCCCAAUAAUGAGUUCUUAUUUUUUGAUUAAAGAGAAAUGCUCGAUUGUUAGAUUUAACGAAGAAAAUCGGAACCCAAUACGUUAGGGCUUAAUUUCCUUGAAAAUCCUAAAUACAAGCAUUAUCUCAAUUUUGAAAAGUCCUUUUUUUUUUAAAUUUGAAUAAGAAGAUGAUGUAAUGUGAUAUUGAAUGUGUGUAAUAAUGUCGCAAUAACAAGUACAACAAUCUUGCACCAUAUUGGCAAUCGAAAGGUAAUGAAUUAAAAGCUAAUUUUCAAAAGAAAUAAAUCCUACGUGAAAUAAUAAUAUCUUGAUAAACUUUUAACUAAACAUUAUAUACGAAAAAAAAGUGAUAUAUGUAAAAUACGUAUAUUUAGAAAAGUAGAUGACUUAAUAAUAAUAUACAAUAGUAUAUGUAAAAAAUAAUUUGAUGUAAACGAAAUACAUUAAAAUAGGUAAAAUAUAAUAAAAUAGUUUUUUUUAAGAGGAAAGUUAUAUAUGGUAAUAAGACAAAAAUGAAAUCUAUAAUUUAUAACAAGAAUAAUUUAAUAUCAAUCAUGUAUAUAUACAAAGCAUGGUAUCGUAAAAAAAUAUUAUUAUAUAAAUCUAUUAAAAUAUAGAAACCUAUUUAAAUGAAUAAAAAAAUAAAACCAAAAUCGUUGAAGAUAUACCAUAUUUGGAGGCAAAUAUAUAAAAGGAAUAGGAAAAAUAUAUUUAUGAAAUUAAAUAAUGACAUAUAAUAGUAAUAUAAAAAAAAUACAUAGUAAGAUAAAACUAUGCGCAUGAAAUUUAAGUAAAUUGAUAAGAAGAAAUAAUGAAAAUAAUAAUAACAAUAAUAGUACAAAUAAUAAUAGGAUUAAUAAAUAAUAAUAAUAAAUUAAUUAGUAAAAGCACAAAUACAAAAGGGAUUAAAUUGCAACUAAAACAGAAUUAGAGGGAAAAAAAAUGAAGGGCCCAAUUAAAAGGCGCGAAUAAUUCAUAGGCCUCAAAUGGGAAAAUAUCCCCAUUCUUUGAAACGCGUCCCUUUAUUAGGGCUAAAUAAAAAAAUAAAUAAAAUUUGCAGUGCUAUCACCUUCUCCCCUUUUUUUAAAAUCGUAAAUAAGUAAAAAAUAAUCGAAAAAGAAAAAAAACCAGUAAGCCACAUUUAAAAAACUGCCAAUCGUUCUCUUUUUUUAUUGAUUUUUUUUCUCCCUUUUAAAUGAAGGGAGAGACCUCUAUUUAUAGCUGAGCCUCCCCAAAUCCAACGGCACAGAUCAAUUACAUCAACGGUGAAGAUUAAAGGGUAUCUACAAAUUAAAUCUCUAAGAUUACAAAAUCACAUCUUCUAAGAUUACAUAUCAUAUCUAAGAUUGCAUAUAUCAUAUCUAAGAUUGCAUAUCCUCGAAGAUUAUGUUUCCAUAUGUGAGUCCGAGUACCUUCGAGUUAACGUAAUUCAAGCAUGAGAUUUAGUCCUAGAAAGCAAUGAUCGAAAUCCCCAAGUUUAUGUUAAGGCUGUAGUUGGGGAUGUGAUAUUGAGGUUCAGAGUUUCCCUUGAUAAGAAUGUGAAUCCUCAAUGGAAUGAGGAUUUGAUGUUCGUUGUUGCUGAGCCAUUUUUCGAUUCUUUAAUAGUAACGGUCGAGGGUAGGCUCGAAAAUAAUACAGUCUGAUGUUUAGGGAAGUGCGUGAUUCGUUUAUCGAAUGUUGAACAGAGGCUACUACCUUUACCAGUUGAUCCAUUGUGGUACACUCUUGAGGACAUUGUAUUUGAAGACGAAAUGGAGAAAGAGGUGAAUUUCUUUAGUAAGCUUAACAUGUGUGUAAGUUUUAAUGGCGGAUAUCUUGUGUUCGAUGAAUCUGUUCACAACGGAAGCGAUUACCGGCCUAUUGCAAAAAUGUUGUGGACGGCUAUGAUCGGAGUUUUGGAGUUGGGGAUCAUAAACGCUUCCGGUUUACAACCAAUGAAGUUAAGAGACGGUCGUGAAAUGACCGAUGCUUAUUACGUGGCGAAAUACGGCCUAAGUGGGUCAAGACUCGGACAGUUGUUGACAGUUUCGAUCCAAAAUGGAAUGAACAGUAUAGUUGGGAUGUUUAUGACCCAUAUACCAUGCUUACCAUAGGAGUUUUCGAUGACUGUCACUUGCAUGGUGGCGAUGCAGUUGGAGAUGGAAAAGAUUCGAGUCUCGGAAAGGUACGAAUUCAAUUUUCAACUCUUGCAACGAACAAGAUUUACACAUAUUCUUAUCCCCUUUUGGUGUUACAACCCAAUGGAGCGAAAAAAAUGGGAGAACUUUAGCUAUCAAUAAGAUUUACUUGCUCAUCUUACUUGAGCUUAUUUCUGGUUUACACCAUGAAUCCUUUGUUGCCUCAAAUGCAUCAUAUUUACUCUCUUUCGAUAUACCAACUCGAUAUUUUAAGGAAACAAGCCGUUCGUAUUCUUUGUUCGAGUCUAAGCCUAAACGAACUGCCGUUAAGGCAAGAGGUUGUGGAGUACAUGUUGGAUGGAGGUUCCCAAAUGUGGAGCCUAAGGAAAGCCAAAGCCAAUUUUCAGAGAGUUUUGGCUACUUUUAAGUGCUUUUCCAAUGCUCGGCAAUGGUUCAAUGAAAUCCGCAAGUGGAAUAAUUCGGCAGUAAUUGUAUUAGUCAUGGCGAUCUACUGUAUUAUAGUUUUUAAACCAGAUUUGAUAUUACCAACAGUGACUCUUUAUAGUAUUCAAGUUAUGAUCCUCUAUUGGAGAAAGCGACCGAGGCGUCCAACUCAUAUCGAUGUGAACCUAUCGGUUGUCGGAUCUGUAACAGCCGACGAAUUGGAUGAAGAGUUUGAUACAUUCCCAUCUUCAAGACAAUUCGAUGUUCUUCAGAUGAGAUAUGAUAGACUGAGAAGUAUUGUGGGGAGAGUUGUGACAGUGAUCAGUGACAUUGCAACACAGGUUGAGAGGUUUCAUUCACUGCUAAACUGGCGUGACCCAAGAAUUACAAUGAUGUUCCUUGUUUGUUGUCUUGUUGGAUCCUUCAUGUUAUAUUAUUUAAUUAGUCUUUAGGUUUUUCUUAUUUUUGGAGGAUUUUAUGUAAUAAGGCCUCCAUUUUUAGGAAAAGAAGUGCUAAAUGCACCCUAGAAUUUCUUUAGUAGGCUACCUACAAAAGCAGAUUACAUGUUAUGAGUACACAACGCCAAGACUUCUUGUAGGUUAUUUGAGCCAAAAUUCAAUUCAGUAAUUAUAAAUUCAAGUUUGAACAACUCGAUUUAUUAAUCAAAUCAAAUUUGAGUAUUAUAAUACCCGUUUCGAACGAUUUAGUAGUCUAAUCGAAUUUUCAUUUUUUUAGUAUUUUUAUAUUAUUAAUUUACAAUUUCAUUAUUGUAUAUACAAUAUUAACCUUACUUUUCCCUUCUUUUUUCAACCGAAACCUAUGUUCACAGGAAGAGAGCUUAUGUUGGUUUAAACAGAUAAACACAACUAAUUUGGUUUGAUUUGUCUCAAUUUGAGUGAUUUGGAUAAUUCUCUAGUUAUAAGAUCCAUCUUACCCGUUAGUUUUAUUAGUUAUCAAUUUUUUAAUUUUUAAGCUUGGUUAAAAAAAUCAAUUUAAUUUCAUAUUUUUCAAAUAUUCUAAACUAUAUUUAUAUUUUAUAAUAUAUAGUAAAUAUAUAUCAUUGAAGCUCGAGUUUGGAGUCGAACUUGUAGAUGAUUAUGGACCGGAUCGGGCCUCGAUAGAAUUUUAUGACAAGGACCGGUUCGACCCAAAAAGUGGACUUAAAAUUUUUUCCAAAUUCGGCUCAGAUAAAAAUGUUAAAACCUAAGUCCAGCCUGCUUGUAUCAAAAAAAAUUAUAUUAUUGUUUUUACAUAAAAACAAAUUUAAAAAAUAUAAUACAUCAAAUACACUAAAAAUAUUAAAAUAAAUGUUUCUCAACAAAUUGAAAAUAAAUUUAAAAAAAUUAUUUAUACGUAAAUAACACUAAAAAAGGUGCAACUUAGCAUACAAAUACUUCUAAAAUAGUAGCAAAAUUAACAAUAAAACAAGAGUUAUACAAUAUCAAAAUAAUAACAACAAAAUAGUAACAAUAUAAUAGCGAAACUGCACCAAAAAAGUGACAAAACAACAUAAAAAAGCAGCAGGUUUUUUUUUUCAGAUUCGGGUCGACCUCGGGCCAAAAAAGCUUACCCAAGGCCCGGCCUGUUUAGAAAACGGGCAUCUCUUUUUUUGCCCAAACCCAUUUUUCGGGCCUAUAUUUUUACCUAAACCAUCUCACUUUUCGAGCAGACAUUCGGGCCGAGACGAAUAGCCCGACCCAUGAUCAAGUCUAGUCGAACUCGAGCCCUAGAUUCCUUCUAUCCAAAAAAAAUGCAUGUUUUAUUUUCAGUUGGCCGCUGAACUUUUAACUAAUGUGUAAUGUAGUACAAAUUAAAUGUCCAAUUUGAUACACCAUGUUGUCGUGUAUCCAUACGGUCCAAAAUUUAUAACAUUAUUUAAUUCACACGCUCACUUGAAACCAACAAAUAAAUAGAUACAAUGUAAUUUCUUAUGAUUGGUUUUGAAAUUUACCUAUAAUUUUUACUGGCUACUUACAUUUUUACCAAAUGAUUAAAAUAUUUUAUUUUAUUUUUCUUAUUUCAAUUUUCAAAGGUACAACAAAAUUUUCAAAUAACUUAAAAUUUAAUUAAGUGGUAAAAAUAUAAUCAACGAAUAAAAGUUAUAUAAAAAAUUCAAAAUCAAAUACAAUGACAUGCUUCAUUUAUUCAUUAUUGUUAAAUCAUCAGUUAAGUUGUAUUAAGGUUUUGGACACGAUCUAAGGUUGUCAGUAUUGUAUUAGUUAGCAUGCCCUUUUUGUUAUAAUAUUAGUAUGUAUCAAUAUUAGUAUAUUUUAAUUUAUUGUUUUGAAUUUAUUAAUAUUUUAAAAUACUUUUCAUAUAUAUAUAUGUUAUAUAUACAAACAAAUAAAUCUCAAUUACAUCUAUUUAAAUAUAUUUAUAUGUAAAGUAAGUUCUAAAUUUAUUAAUUGGUCCAAUAGCUUCUGUAACACUCCUUAACCCUGAACCGUCGCCGGAACAGGGUUACGAGGCAUUACCGGACGUAUCAAACAAUUUACAGCAAAUCUGUCCAAUUGUGUAGCAGUUACUAAAUUACUUAUAAUUCGAGCUACGGAACUCGAAAUUUAAUUCCGUAAAUUUUCCCUGAAACUAGACUCAUAUAUCUUCCUACCAUAAAAAUUUCAUAAUUUUUGGUCCAGCCAAUUAGUACAGUUUAUUAGUUAAAGUAUGCCCUGUUUCACCAAUUAACUGCCCUGAUCUCUUGUCACUAAAAAUAAAAUUUCUCAUUGUAGGAUUAUCAUAUGAAGUUAUUACUUGUUUCUACAGAAAAUAGACUCAAUAAGGAUUCUAUACAUAUAAACUGAAACUCAUAACUAUAUUUGUACAAUUUUUAAUGAUUUUCUAAACUCAGAACAGGGGACUCCAAAAACAGUUUUGACACCGUCUCACUAAAACUCUAAUAUCUCAGAAUAUAAAAUUCUUUUUCCUACAACGUUUCUUUCCUGUAAAAUUAGACUUGAUAAGCUUUAAUUCUAUAUAUCAUUCACUCUCUAAUUCCAUUUCUACUAUUUAUGGUGAUUUUUCACAUUCACGUCACUGCUGCUGUCAAAGAAACUGCUUCUUUGAAUUAGUUACCAUUUACACAUAUAUAACACCAAAACAUAAUCUUAACUAACCAUUUAUAUUAAAACAUAAUGACAUUUAUGCACAACCUAUGUACAUGCCACCUUUACCAAAGGAAGAAUACAUCACCAAGUUUUGUUGAAGUCGGGUCUGGCUUUGGAUGUUGGUUCAGUGCUUGACUUCUACAACCUGCGCACGGAAAUAACCGUACGCUGAGUAUGCAUAUACUCAGUGGUAUCACUAUAAUCCAAUUUAUAAUUAAAUACAUUAAAUCACACACAUACUUUUUAUUAUAAUUAUCACUACUAAUAAACAAUUCAAUCAUUUAAUAUUAUCAAUUAAUUAUAUAUAUUUAUAAACAUCAUUCUUAUUUCUUUAUUUCAAAUUUCACCUUUAACAUAUACCAUAUCAUUUAAGUAGUAAACUUAUUUCAUUUACCCCUAUUAACUUGACUCGGACUCGAUGGAUACACGGAUUCCAACCAAAUACACCAGUAUACAGUAAUCAGUAACAGUAACAGUAACAGUAUUCAACACACAAAGUGCUGAACCUGUAACAGUAACGGUAACUGUAUUCUACACACAGUGCCGAGUCAGUAACAGUAACAGUAUUCGACACACAAAGUGCCGAAUCAGUAACAGUAACAGUAGUCGGCACAUAAGUGCCUGAUCAGUAAGCCGGCAAAUACCCCGUACACUUCCAUAUCCUAUGGCAUGCCAACUAUAUCCGACUAGCCCGACUAGUUAAUAGGGUAUUUAAUUCACUUUUCAGUAUAAAUUUCCAUCUUAAUUCAGUAUCAAUUAUAAUUCCUUAAUUCAAUCGGUUUCACAGUAUUACAGUAAUUCUUUACUUCAGUAAUUUCACAAUUCAAUGCAUUAUACAUAACAAUAUUCAGUAUUUUCACAAUUCACUCAGUAAUCAAAACAAUAUCUAGUAUCCCAUAAUUCGGUUCAGUAUCAGUUUCAAUUUCAUUACUACAUUAUAAAUUUAUUAUUUAUUAAACACUUACCUUAAAAUACUUAUCACACAUAAUUAGCAAAUUAAACACUUAAUAUUAAUAAAGUUUGAAUUAUAGUGAUACAAACCGUAAUUCUCCCAUUUUAGUCCUCGAUAACUUUCUCCUUUCCUUUUGAUGCCGAUGCCUCGGGUUCUUUGUUAGCUACGAAAAUAAUAAUUUAUACUAUUAAUUUCAGCACUACUUAUAAUAAAUAGUUGAGUUUCUAUUCAAUUUCUUCCUUAUUCUCAAUUUAAUCCUAACUAAAUUUAUUUACUUUUCUAAUUUAAUUCACACUCUAUUUCUAUUCAAAUUUCAUCCAAACUUAAAUUUAACUAUCAAAAUUUCAGCAUAUUUUCCUAAUUCCGAAUUUCCCCCACUUCAGUCCCUAAAACAUAAAACUUAUAGUUUCUUUUGCGAUUUAAUCCCUUUAUUAAUUCUAACUUAAAACUCAUUCAAUUAAAUCCCUAAUUCAACAAUUUAUUCAACAUAAACUAUACUUUGAAAACCUAUGAACUUACAAAAUAUCAACUUAAUUCCAUCAAAACUUUGUUUUAAAGCUUUUAAAAUAUUAUAAUUAAAAAGAAAGGGCUAAUUUGACUUACCAAAUUAAACUUCAAGCUUCAAAACCCCUAUUUUCCCUAUUUUCUUUCUAUCUUUCUUUCUUUUUUCCUUCCUUCCUUCUCUGCCCGUUUUGCUCUCUGUUUCGUCUCUUCUAUUCUGUUUCUUUUCUUUCUUUUUUCUAUUCUUUCUUUUGUUUUAUGUAUAUAUAUAAUAUAAUAUAUUAUAUUAAUAAUAAUAUAAUAUAAAAACAUAAUCAUUACUAUAAUAUAAUAGUAUUUUUUUAACACAUAAAAAUCUCAGAUUUUUAUACUUAUGCGGCCUCAACUUUGGUAAAAGGCAUAAUUGCCUAUUUGGUCUUUUUAACUUUUCUUUAAUCUAUAAUUAAACUUUUAUCACUAUUGCAAUUUAAUCCUUUUUCAUAAUUAACUAUCAAAGCGUUAAAAUUUCUUAACGAAACUUUAAUAUUAUCCUAUUGACACUCCGUAAAUAUUUAUAAAAAUAUUUACGGCUCAGUUUAUAAUAUCGAGGUCCCGAUACCUCGUUUUCGACCCAAUUUACCUAAUAAUUUCUUUUAAAUCACAAAAUUCACUAAUUCAAAAAUAUUUCUAACUUUUUCAUCGAAUUUUUAGUGAUCUCAAAUCACUAUUCUGACACUACUGAAAAUUGGGCUGUUACAGCUUCACUUUAUUUUAAUUUUAAAUGUAAUUAUAAAAAAUUAAAAUGUUUAAGAUAAAAAGUUAAAAGAUAAAUUAAAAUAUUAAAAUUUUUUUGCAAUUGAUAUAGGCUGGUAUUGGCUAGAAUUGGCCAAAACACAUUGGAACAUGCGAAGCAUAUUGAAAUCUUGACCAAAACGAAACCUAAGUAAAAGACUGGAACAGUAUGGUACCGAUUACUAAAUUGGAUUUUUCUACAGGUACUAAAUUACACAUUAGGUGAAAUUUUUGUGGCUAAAAAAGACAUUAACCCAUUUAGUUUGCUUCAGAUGACUUUAAUUACUAGAUUACCCCCAUUGCACUGUUUAAAAAAAAAGGUUCUUAAUGAAUGCUGAGGCCUCGCUAUUUUCAUUUUAAUUACCGGAUUACCCCAAUUGAACUAUUUAAGAAAAUGAAAAGGAGAAAAAAAAAGCUUCUUAAUGAAUGUUGAGCCCUCGCUAUUUUCAUUUCGUCACUUCCACUCUUCUCUGUUAAACGUUUCGCCGUCGUUGCCUACCAUCGAUUUGCUAAGGUACACCGGAAACGGCUUUCUUUUAUUCUCAUAUAUAAUAAUUUUAUAUUACUUUUUAUAUUUUUUUCUCGUUUCAUUUCAAGUUUUAGAGUGUUUUGUUCUUUUUUUUUUUAAGAAUUAGUUUGACAAUAAACACAAAGAAACCGACCCUUUUUGUCCCAUGAUUGAGAUUGUUUAUUAGCUCCUCUUCACUAUAGGUGCUCAUGGGCUGGGCGGCCCGGUCUGGCCCGAUAGCUCCCCCGAAAUAUGGGUUUGGACAAAAAAAUGAGGCAUAUUUAGAAAACAGGCCAAGCCUCGGGCACUAAUUUUUUGGCCCGAAUAUAAUAAAUAUAUAUUUUUUAUUUUUAAUUUUAAAAUGCUUUUUAAAAAAAAAUUUAUUUUAAAAUAAAUUUUGUGUUUAUUUAAAAAAUGGGACGGGCUGGGCCGAGCUCGGGCUUAGGAAUUUUUUCCCGAACUUUCUCUGGACAAAAUUUUAGGCCCAUAUUUUGGGCCGAGCUGACCCGAGUCUAGGACGUGGGCCGAAAUUUUUUUAGGCCCGACCCAUGAAAACCUCUACUCUUCACCAAUUUAAAGUCCCAUUUUUCUUUGGCUUUUUAUUGGGUGUUUUCAUCAUUUUUCUCUUUCUUUGUAUGGUGGGUUAUUUCUUGCUUCUAAUUUGUUUAUUGUUUUCAUUAUUGUUUCGAAUUUAUUAAUAUUUUAAAAUACUUUUCAUGUAUAUGUAAUUUAAUUUUAAUUUCUCAGUAAGUUAUAUGUUAUAUAGAAACAAAUAAAUCUCAAUUACAUCUAUUAAAUAUAUUUAUAUGUAAAGAUAAGUUCUAAAUUUAUUAAUUGGUCCAAUAACUUCACUUUAUUUUAAAUUUAAAUGUAAUUAUAAAAAAUUAAAAUGUUUUUAAAAUACAGUGCAAUUUCCCCAUUUCCCAUUUCCCCUCUUCCACCGAUUAAAAUCCUUAAGCCCGUGCCGUCCCCCCUCUUUUUCCCAAUUCGAAAAUCAACCUUCACCUCCACCAAUCUACCUCCACCGAUCCACCUCCGGUCCUCCACGGCUCCACUCAAUUCCGGAAUCAGAGGUUAGAGCGGUGCUUCUACGUCUUCUACCUUUAAAUUUCAAAGGUAUGUUAACUUUUAAAAGGGAGUUUGCUGCUGUUAACAGUGUUAACCCUAGACAUUUAGUUAGAUUUUUUUCCCUCUCUUUUACGGUGCUUCUACCUUUGAAUUUUCAGUUCUCGAAUUAUUUCUCCUCUGUAUUUGUAAAUCUUCAGUUCUUCACCUUUGUUAAAUUAUUUUUCAUGUUUUUUGCUUUUUGCUUUUUUUAUUUUUGGAUUGAUGAACUGAUUGAUCUCUUUUAUAUUAAUAUGACCAAUAUGGUGGUUUUCUGAUUUUGAUUUUAAGACACUGAAUCUUCGGGGGGGGGGGAAUUAAAUCUGGAAUUUUGGAAUGUGGAUUCUGGAUUGUAUGUUCAACCUUUUGAAUUAGCAUUGGUUUACAUCUUUCACGGAUGUCCUCGAGACUUGUCCCAUUUACCGACAAGUGUCACGGGUGAGACUCCUGUUAAGUGUGAUUCACUUCUAAGAUUCUUGACAAGAGAUGUACUGGCCAUGCUUUACUAAUCUUGUGUCUGCCUUGUAAUCUGCACAUUUGUCAUUGUAUGGAUGCUGUAAGGACCCCUCCUCCUCUUUGCCUGCUUAGUCAAACCCAUUUUCCAGACAAAUCUCUCGCCUCUCUUCAGCAUUGAAAAUGAUAAUCUCUUCUUUGAUGAGAAACAUCCUGGCUUGGGAGAGACUGAUUAUUAAGAGUUUUAUUCAACAAGUGAAGUAUUAUUUUUUUUAGCAUAUGGUUCCUGACAUCUGGAAACUUGUUUUUUCAUUUUUAGAAAGCAACUUAUAUAUAUAUAUAUGUAUGUAUAUAUAUCUUUACCGUAAAAUUGCCUUGAGGUGAGUUUUGUAUUUCAAUACGAAGCUAUAGGAUUAAGGGUAGCUGAGCACAAUUAAGAGCAAAAUUGUGUUAUUCAAUUAUUAUUGGAUGAGAAUUGAUUUAUGUUUUAUAGAGCUUGUAAUUUGCAGGGCUGAGAUCACAAGCUUAGUUUCUUCAUUUAAUCUCAUCUUUUUUGUUUUUUCUUUGUUUUAUUGCAGAAACAAGUGACAUUGAAAUCGAUUUGGCUUACCUUAGCUUCCUUUCCCGUAAGCUUUCAUUUACAUUUUCUUUUUAGAAUUUAAUUUAAUUUAAUUUGAUUUUCUUUUAUUUUACUUUGUACUACAUUUUGCAAUUAAAUGCAGGAUUAGCAGAUUUUCUAGAUGAUAAUUUGUGUCCUUAUCUCAAAACAUUGUUAUGAUUACUGAUUCCUCUGAAAAAGAAGUGAACUUCCAAAAUAUUAGGGGGAAAGAAAAACUUAAAUUUUGAUUAAAUUAUGGUAAUGUUAUGCUAAAAUUGAUUAUCUACUAGUAGGAAAAUAAUGGGAUUGAGAAAUGGAGAUGCUUCUAUUUAUGAAUUUGGAUUGGAUUUAUGCAGUUUGAAUUUCAUUAAUUUCUUUUUUGGUACAUAUGUAAUUUAGCUUAUAGAAUAAGUAUGACUAUCUCAAUUGUUUAAACGCAAAGGAUGUUUUCUAGUUUAGGUUUAUAUAUACAAUAUUAUGCUUUCUACGUUUAUACAUAAAUUUGAAAUCUAAUGAAUGUUUUUGUUCCAUUCAAUUCUUAUUCCUUUUUUGUUUGCGUUUUCACACUCUAAUUUAUUAGGAAUUUUUAAGUUUUAAAUUGUUUAAACUCAAUUGUUUUAAAUUGUUUAAAUUCAAUUUUUAAGUUUAGGUUUAUUAGGAAUUUUUAAGUUUUAAAUUGUUUAAUCUCAAUCCUUUAAACGCAAAGGAUUACUUGAAUUAAGUUUUAAAUUUUAAAUCAUGUCAAAUUCGUUAAAGUAGUUAAUCAUAUUCUAAUCUCUCUUAUUGAACUAAUUUCCACUCCAUUAAUUCAAUAUUUACAUAGGUGCUAUAACAAUUUUGGUGUUUACUAAAAAAAAAAGGGCCGGGCAGGGCAGGGCCCAGGAAUUUUUUCCCGGGCCAGGCUUGGACAAAUUUUCAGGCCCAUAUUUCGGGCCGGGCCCGGGCCUAGAAAGUGGGCCUAAUUUUUUCUGGGCCUGACCCAGCCCAUCGAUUUGCUAAGGUACACCGGAAACGGCUUUCUUUUAUUCUCAUAUAUAAUAAUUUUAUAUUACUUUUUAUAUUUUUUUUCUCGUUUCAUUUCAAGUUUUAGUGUGUUUUAUUCAUCGUUUUUUUUUUGAGAAUUAGUUUGACAAUAAACACAAAGAAAAUGACCCUUUUUGUCCCAUGAGUGAGAUUGUUUAUUAGCUCCUCUUCACCAAUUUAAAGUCCCAUUUUCUUUGGCUUUUUAUUGGGUGUUUUCAUCAUUUUUCCCUUUCUUUGUAUGGUGGGUUAUUUCUUGUUUCUAAUUUGUUUAUUUUUUUCAUUAUCGUUGCAUGAGUUUAUGUUUCAAAUAUUGACGAUGGGUAUAAAUGUGUUUUUCCCCCUUUUUCGAUCAAAAGAAAAUAGAUUGACGAUGGGAUUACCAAAUGCAAGCGGUGACUUGUCAACUGAAGUUGAGGUGGAUGCUUUCAGACGCCUCUUUCCCCUUCGUUUCUACGAGAAACAUCUUUUAGAGUCUAUACGUCCUGAUGCUCGUCCACUUGGAAGAGCAAGAGAAACCACCAUUGCCCUUGGUUAGUAAAAGAAAAAAGAUAUAACUAUGAAACUUUUUAUGUGACAUAAUAUUUCUUCAUACUUGGAUCUGAUUCCUUUAAUAUCCAGGGGCUGUUGCAUCUGCUAAUGGUUCAGCACUUGCAAAAAUUGGUUCAACUGUAAGUUUGUCACUUUCUCUUAAUACAUAUACUGCUUUGUUUUGGCAAGCAAUUAAGCUUGGAGUUUAAUAAUUAAUUCCUUGCAUGGCAUAGACUAUGUUGGCUGCUAUCAAAAUGGAGGUCAUGACCCCUUCAUUGGAAACACCGGAUGAGGGUUGUAUAGGUUUGCUGCCGUUAGCUGCACGCUUUCCUGUUUCUCUUUCUCUUCUUAAAAUGCAUCUCUUAUCUCUCGUACUUUAUCAUAAUUUCUUUUUCAUUUUCAGCUAUUGAUUUCCACAUGCCUCCAAUUUGUUCUCCAAUUGUUAGGCCUGGCAGACCGGCUGAGGCAGCACCAGUCGUUGCAAAGCAAUUGUCAGACACUAUUUUAAGGCAUGCCAAUUUAGUUCCUUGAUUGUUUAUUGAUGCUGAGAUGCACCCUAUUAAGCCUGUUAAUUUACUUGUAGUUGUGACGUGUGAUGUUUAUCUGUGCUGUAAUUCUUUAGAAUGCAAAGUCUGCAAUUUGUUAUCUCAUCUUUGUGUGGAUUCAAUCAUUAUCUUCCUCUUCGCCUCUGUAUUUACUUAUGAUUAUUGAUGUGAUUAUUGAUGUGGAUUCAAUUUGUUCUCCCUCUUGCUUCUUACUGCUUGCUGAAGCACACUGGUCAGUUAUUUUAUCUAAAUUUGUUGGUGGUUUCGUUUCUUUUGAAUCUCUUUACACUUAUAAAUGUUCUGUUUCAAAACUGUUCCACUUUGAAUCCUUUUCUUUCUGUUAGGUUCUCAAACAACCUGUCAUGUGUAAUUACAGCUCUGGCAUGAUCAAUUUGAAGGAACUGUCCUUGGUUAGUGGAAAAGCUGCUUGGAUGGCAUAUUUGGUACGUGAUUGUGGUUUUUAAAUGUCUUAAUUAUCCGUCUUAGGACUUUCAAGUUGUGUAAGAGUUCGAACAUAAGCCAUCUAGCGUUCAUGCAAGUUGAUAUGGAAAUUCAAGUAAUACCAUAGUGCCUUUGUUCUCCUUGAAUACGGAAGUAACAUAGUAGUCUGUUUUUUCAGGACAUAUACUGUUUGGAUGCUGAUGGUGCUCUUUUUGACACUGCAUUACUCUCAGCGGUUGCUGCCUUUUCUCAUUGUAAGUGUUUCUCUCAUUUUCAUCAAAUACUAUAACAUCAAUUCACCAUGCCACUAAAUAUGAUAAUACUUGCCAAAAACAACCAACCUCUUCCAUGAGAAAGAAGAUUGACAAUGAGACGGAAAAGAAAAUUUGCGAUGGUAAAAUUGCUUUGUUCUUUUAAAGAGAAAAAUGUAUGACCGCCUAAGGAAUUCCUCCGGUGUAAAUUAAAUUAAAAGUAGCAUUUCAUCUAUUUAUCAAGAGUGAGUCAUAAUAGGUUGACAAAAGACACUUGGAACAUAAUGCUCCUUUUCCUUCUGUUAUCUUUAAGAAAUUUAUGAUAAACCACUAAAAGCUAUAUCCACUUGAUGCAUUAACAUACAAAUUGAUUUUAUUUCAGGGUUGACAUUCUGAUUUUCAUGCUUCUUUUAAGUGUGUGUCUGGCGAUCUUGGGGUUUUUGCAUGAAUUACUUCCUUUAGUUUUAACAUAGGAAACGCAUUUUCAUGUACCAGCAAAAAUUACCACUGCUCUAUCUUGGCAAUACAAUGAUCAGAAUUUGCUUUAGGAACAUGGUUUCAUCUAAUCCAUGAUUAAAGCUUUUCCUUGGGUAAACCAAAAAAUUACUAAAUCUCAUAUUAGAUGAGUGAUUAGUAUGCAUAAUUGGCAGUAUAAAUCUUGACCAAGCUUAUUGGUUAUAGAGCAUACUUCAAUGGUAAACCCUGUUGUAAAAUAUCCGCAAUUUAUACUUUCAUGAUAUAAGAUACAAAGCAAGGUCAACCAUAUGUUAUGGCUGUAAUCUAUUUACCUUUUAAUUUUGCCUAGCUUGCUGUCCCAUGCAAAGCCUCUUUGUAUUAUCUGGUCUUGAUAUUCCCUCUGCAGCUACACUAUUGAUUUAAUAGAUUUUGUUUUGGAGUGUCUAACCUAACUGUUUUUAUUUUACCAAAAAAAAUUCCAGUGGAAAUCCCUGUGGUAUCUCUCAACGAUGAUGGAAAGAUCGUUUUAUCAGAGGAACAAGGACUAUCUGACAGGGAACCAGUCAAUAAGGAGAAGAGAAAAAUUAAUCUGAGCAGCGUUCCGUUUUCAUUGACAUGUGUACUUUACAAGAACUACAUUUUGGCAGAUCCUACUGCCGAGGAAGAAUCUAUUAUGGACACUAUUGUAACCGUGGUUUUAGAUUCAUCUAGUCAACUCGUCUCGCUUCAAAAACCAGGUGGAACAGUUCUAGCAUAUACAUCAGCUAUCCAGGUCAGUUGAAUUUUUGGUCUUGAUGUCCCUUUUUAGGUUUUAAUGAUGCUUUAGCAGCAUAAUACAUUUUAGUGCUCUCAUCAUGGUUUAUUUUUCACCGUUAACUUUUGAAGCCACCUUGACUCCAAGAUUAGGCCUGAAGGUCAUGUUCUUGUCCAAAGUUAAAUAGUUUAUAGAAAUAUAGGUUGUCAUGUUCAGAGUUCAAACUUUAUUUUAUUUUUCUUAUGAUGCUUUACAUUUUAGUGCUCUUAUCAUGGUGUAUUUUUCACCGUUAACUUUAGAAGCCACCUUGACUCCAAGAUUAGGCCUGAAGGUCAUUUUCUUGUCCAAAAGGGAAAUAGUUUAUAGAAAUAUAGGUUGUCAUGUUCAAAAUUCGAACUUUUUGGUGCUUUGAAGUCUUUUUCUUUAUGAUGUGUUUGCCGUACAAAUUGUUGUAAAAUUAGGGUUAAUGUAAUUUUUGUCACUUAAACUUGACAACUAGGUCCAUCUUGGUACUCUUAACUUUUUUUUAUUAGUCUCAGAACUCGGUAGUUUUUCGUAAUUUAGUCAUUGAACUUUGAUUCCAUUAAGGUGUGAUGACUUGACACUAAUACUGUACCAUGUCAGCUUUUCCCAAUUAUAUAUAUAUUAGGUGAUUAUGUAGCACAAUCUCAGAGCACCAUGUCAUCACACUUUUAACGAAGCUCAAGUUGAAGGACCAAAUUGGUAAAAGUUGCAAGUUCUAGGACUAACGUGGACAAAAAAAGUUAAAAUACCAAAGUGAACUUAGUUGCCAAGUUCCAAAACUAAAAAUUACAUUAACCCUUGAAAUUAUAUAUUGUUAAAAUUAUGGUUAAUGUAAUUUUUUACCCCUAAACUUCGCAAUUAAGUCCACUUUAGUAUCUGAAUUUUUUUUAUCCACAUUAGUCUUGGAACUUGGCAGCUUUUUCCAAUUUGGUCCCUAAAUUGGGUUCCAUUAAGGUGCGAGCAUAACACUCUAAGAUUGUGCCACUUCUUCAAACAAUCUCGGAGUGUCUCGUUAUCACACUUUAAUGAAAAUCAACUUGCAAUGACCGAAAUGGAAAAGGUUGCCAAGUUCCUAAACUAACAUGGGCCAAACCUAAUUGCAAAGUUCAGGAGCUAAAAAUUAUAUCAACCCUUAAACUUAUACUGAACCAAUGGACCAAGAGCUUGAUAUGAAAAUAACUUUUCCAUGGAUGCAGGACUGCAUUGCAUUAACACGGCAAAGAGUGAAGGAACUUCAAAAGAUUCUAGAGGAAGCCAUUUCUGGUAUGGAGGUUGACUAAUCUUGCACCUACUAAUUAAAUGCUAAUAAUUGAUCUUUUUAAAAUUAUUGUUGUUUGUUCUAUUGCGUUUGUUUAGUGACAUUAUUAGUUCAGGGACUGGUUUUUGGAGGGUGUAAGGAACCAAUUCUAGUAUGCUUAAAAGUGGCAAAUUUUGUUUAUUGCCUUUUGGUAUGUUAAAAAUGUUCCGUUUUUGUUCUAUAGAAUUUCUUAAUGUUGAAAGUAUAUGCCAAGUCCCUCUGUUAUAGGAACUGAAUCAAAUUAGUUCAUUUACUAUUAAAUAGACUGAUUUUGGCUUGUAUUAUUAAAAAGAAUCAAAUAAUGUCAAAUUGUAAUAAAGUUAACAUUUAGUGUUUGAAAAAUUACAUGAAAAAUUAAUUUUUAUUCGUUUCUAGUUCAACUCCAAAUAAAGGAUUUUAUUUGCAAAACCAAUAUUAACCUUGUCAAAGACGUAACUUUGUUGAAAUUUCACCUUAAUUGUAUAGGGAUUAAAUUGAUUUAGAGGAAUUAAUUUGAUCCAAUCUUUAUAAUAGAGGUGCCUACCAGGUAGUUUGCCAUUUCUUAAUUGUUCUAGAUUAACUAGAAUGCUUGAUUACAAAAUUGGUCUCAAACUACACCACUUGUUCCACUGAGGUGCCCAAAGUUUUUUUUUUUUUUAUUGUCAAAAGUAGGCAGAUAAAUUAUUCAAUUUGGUCUGUUUUUAUUGGUUGGUAUUGUAUUUUGAGGAUAAAAUGAGAGGGAAUUAUUUUUAAGAUGCUGAAAAUAAAAAUAGGUUUCUAAAGAAAAAUAUGGUAUAAUUUGAGGGUUAAUUUUAAAUUUAAAUUAAUAAAUACAUGAUAUUUUAUAUACAAAAUUAAAUGUAUCUGUAUUAUAGCCGAUAUUUGCAUCCAAAUAAUUAAUCUUUGGCUGAGAAGCCAAUCAACUAGACCAACAUUUUUUUAAAAUCUUCAUUCUAAAUCUAUGAGCAAUUGUUAGAUUUUAUUUAUUUAUUUUGUUUUUAGCUUUGGAUAAAACCGGAUCGUAUCACCUAAAAAAUCCAAAUUAAUUAAAUUUAAUAUUUGUUUUUUAUAUUUAUAUAAUUAAUUAUUCAUUAAAAUAUUCUUAAAUAUAAAUCAAACCCACCCAAUUUUAUUACUUUUUUCAGUUUCUGGACGAUUAUGUCCAUUUUUAUUUUGUCUAUAUUUGCCUUAAAAGUUGACAAUUCUUUUUAGUUUAGUCUUUAUAUUUGUGAUGAUAUGUAUUCUGUGAUUGUAUCAAGUCAUUAUUUCAAAAUUAAAAAUUUAUAUACAAUUGAGAAAAGUUAAUGUGACACAACUCAAAGUGUCUUAAGUUUAAGGAUUAAAUUGAAAAAAUGUUAAAAUUUGAGACUAAUGAAAAAAUUAAAUAUUAAAAUUGACUUAUUUAUCAAGUUGAAGGAUUAAUUUGAGACUAAUAAUUUUUUUAGUCUAAACAAAUAUUUCUUUUAAAUAAAUCAUUUUAUUUGAGUCCCACCACAUUCAUUAAUAAUAAUUAAAUAAUAUAAUAUAAUAUAAAACUUUUAGAUGUAGUCGUUAGGAAUCCGAAUCCCCAAUUAGGGGUGAGCAUUCGAUCGAAUCGAAUCAAAUCGAAUCGAAAAUUUUCGAGUUAAUCGAGUUUUCGAAUCUCAUUUUAUCAUCGUAACUUUAUUUGAAGUUUUCUCGAAUUGAGUCGAGUGAGAUAGAAUUCGAAUCGAAUCGAAUCGAAUAUAUUUGUUCGAGUUAAAUUUUAAAAAAUAAUUUUGGGUCCUUGUAACCAUUGUCACCCAUCGUAAUAAAAUUUGUCCACCUUAAUCAAUUUUUUUAUUAACUUUCAUCACCUCAUAAUUUAUUUAUUAAUUUUUUAUAUACUGGUUAGCUUCUUUGCUUGCUUAGUUGUUUCAAUUAUCUUCAAAUUCUUGUCACUAUGUAUUUUGGAAUUAAAAAAUGUAUUAAAUGUAAAAAUAUGAUUUUUUUAAUAAAAGUUAUUUUAAAAAUAAAAUGUGAAAUUGAUACCAAUAUAAAAUUUUAACACGAAUAUUUUAUGGCAUAAUUAAUAAUUCAAUUUUAAUAUAAAUAUUCAAUAUGACUAAACAAUUCAAUAAUAUAAAUAAUAUAAAAUGUGAAAUUUAAUUUAAUAAUAUAAAUAGUAGAUAUAAAUAAAAUUAUUACUAUUUAUGCUUAGUAGUUUUUUUUGGAUAAUUUUUAUUUUUUAUUUGAGAGUAAAGGGUGAGAAGUAAAAGUUUAGGGAGAAAAUAAAAAGUUUUGGGAAUAAAAGUUUGAGGGAAUGUAAAUAGGGGGAGUAAAAUUUUGGAGGGGGGAGGGUUUGGAGUAGAUGGGAGGUGGGAUGGGAAGAGAAUAAAAUUUUUAAGGGAAAAGUGGGAGGGAAUAAAAAUUUUGGGGGAAAAUAAAAGGUUUUGAGGGUUUUGGGGAGUAAAAUUUUGAGAAAAAAUAAAUGGGAGAGUAAAAUUUUGGUGGGAAAUAGAUUUUGGGUAGAUUGGGGGGUUGGGGAGAGAGAGGAGUAAAAGUUUUGGGGGGAAGUGGGAAGAAGUAAAAGUUUUGAGGGAAAAGUAAAAAAGUUUAGGAGUUUGGGGUAAAAAUGUAAAAUAUUAUAGUUUGAUAUUCAAAUUAUUCGAAUUUGAAAACUCAACUCGAUUCGAACUCGAAAUUCGAGUUGAUUUGAAUAACUCGAUUAACUCGAAUAACUCGAUUCGUUUAACUCGAAAUUUAAAUUUUUUUCGAUUUUUUCGAGUCGAAUCGAGUUUUGCUCACCCCUAUCCCCAAUGCGACACUAUUCUCUAAUAAUUUCAAGCAUAAAUUUUAGGGAUAAUUUAACUUUUAGUACUUGAACUUGGGAAUUAGGCUCACUUUAGUAUUUGUACUUUUUUUGUUUGUUUUAUUUUAAUCUUUAAAUUUGACAACUAGAUUCAUUUUGGUUGUUAGGAUCGUCCCGAUUAAGUAACAAACAAGUAAAAAUAGCAGAAUAAAUUGAGAAGAUGAACACACAAAUUUAACGUGGAAAAAUCCCUCUAAAGAGGAUAAAAAAACCACAAGUAAAGAUAAUUUUACUAUAAUGGCAAAAGAAUGAAGAGUACAAAAGAUUGGAGAUAAAACCAAACCUCGAAAACUCGAAAAACAAAGAACCCUCAAAACGUAAACACAAAAUUCACUGAAUGUGUUAUGAGUUCUAAUCUAAUGGGUAUUAUUUCUAAGAUUGUAAAAGAACCUAUUUAUAGGCUAAAUUAGUAAGUCAAAUAAACUAUACUAAUAAAUGCUAAAUAUAUUAUACUAAUAAAUACUAAAUCUUCUAGAAAGAAAUAUAUUUUUAUUUAACUCGACUUGCAAGCAAUCUCUUAGAAUUUGGGUCACACAACUCUAACAUUGGUCCUAAAACUUAGAUUUUGUCAAAAUCUGAUGACGUACUCGGUAUUACUGGAACAAGAUUGGAUUGGACAGAUUGAUGAUUGAUCGAUAUAAUGGUCCAAACAAACUAGUUGAAUCGAUAGACUUAGAAAUUGCUUGAAAUUGGUAAAAAUCAAGAAUCGAGACAAAAGUUGACGGUUGAACAUAUUGAACAAGUUUAAUAUAUAUAUUUUAUUUUUAUUUUUAAAUAUUCUUUCAGAUUUUUAUGAAUUUUUAAUUGUUUAUUUAAUUAUUCUUGAUCCGGUUGUCAACCAGAUCAAAGUGAUCGAAUCAAGAAUCAGUGGUUUGAUUUUUGUCAACAUUGGUUCGAUUAUUAAAACACUAAACAUGACAUUUUGAGAUUAUACCAUAUCAUCAUUUAAAAAUGUAUGCAAUUUUUUGUAAUUUUUAAGUUCAGAUAUCAGAAUGGACCUAUUUGUCAAGUUCAAGUGUCAAAGUGGACAAAAAAAGUACAGAAACUAAAGUGAACCUAGUUAUUAAAUUUACGGACCAAAAUUUAUAUUGUCCUUGAAUUAUACAUAAAAUAAAUAUAAAUCGAAAAAUAAUAUAAUAAAAUCUAUAAUAUAAUGCUAAGGUUAAACCUCGACAAGUUUGAAUAUUAUUUUCGACAGAGACUUUUUCUUCUAACUCUAUUGAAAAUUUGAAUGCGUGAAGAAGCAAUAGUUUCAACAAGGAAACCAUUAAAAAGAAUUAACAUAAUGAUUUACUUGGCCCUCUAACUUUACAAAAAAAGUCAUUUUAGCCUUCCAUUUAUUUUGUUUUGUUUUUUUUAUCUCUUUUAAUCCUUGAACUUACGUUGUUUAUCAAAUCACUCCAAAAUAGAUGAAAAAAAUAAUGUUUAUUAAUUUUGCUGAUGUGACAUCCACAUGUAUGUCAUAGUAAUUAAUUGUUUUUUAAAAUAAAAAGUAAAUCUUUUAUAUUUUAGAAAAUUUUAAUUGUGGGAUUUUUUUUGAAUUGAAAAAUAAUUAAUUAUUGAUGUAGCACACACGUGGAUGCCACAUUUUCAAAUUUAGCAGACGUUUACUUUCCAUCUAUUUUUUUGGUAGUUUGACAUACAGUUAAGUUCAAUAGUUAAAAGAGAUGAAAAACUAAUUGAAGGGUUAAAAGUCAUUUUGUAAGGUCGGAGAACAAAAUAAGUCAUUAUACCAAAAGAAUUAAAAAUUUCACAAUCGAUGAUGUUUGAACCCAUAUAUUAAAUGAGGCACAAGUACAAGUUGGCUACGCGAAACCUCAACAAUAAUUUACAUAAAUUAUCCCAAAAAAUUGAGCUAAUUAAAAACAUCUAUUGUCUUGGAUCGAGUAAAAAGAAGCUCGAUGUCUUUUAAACCAAACCAACUUGGACGAGCAUCUCGAAUAUAAACACCUCUAGACCCAACCCAUAAGCACUUAAUUACAACGAGAAUAAAUUGCAUCAGAGAUCCCCAAACUAUGAUUCUCAUUUUCAAUGGGUUUCAAAUUUUAAAAAAUUUUGAUUGUAUCUCCUAAUUUUCAAGGUUAUGUCAAUUAAGUCCUUUCAUUACUAAACUUGUUAAAUUCACUAUUAAGCAAAAUGACACUUUACUUUUUAAAAUUUAAAUUAUGUCACACAGGAUCUGAUAUAUUACUUAACAACGAACUUAAUGGUUUUAGUAUCAUAAGGACUUAAUUAACAUAAUCUUGAAAGUUUAAGGAUAUAAUUAGAAUAUUUUAAAGUUUAACAAUUAAUUUAAAAUAAGUUAUAGUUUAGGAGCCUCUAGUGCAAUUUACUCUUUUAACGAGCUACAUCUAUGAAUGACUAAGAUUUCUUAUUAGUAGCGUGUCAAAAUUUCACUAAUUGUGUUCUAAAAUCAUUUAAAACAAAUAAAAGAAUUGUUUAAAAGAUCAAAGAUUUCGACUUUUGAUUUAAUAUUUAAUGGCGAUUUUCACUAUUUUUAUUUAAAAAAAAACAAUUUAAUUUUACAUGUUUUUCAUACACGAUCUUCCUCUUCUUCAUUAGUAUCGUCCUUAAAACUGAUCCAAUCCAAUCCAAAUCCAAAUCCAAAUCCAAAUCCAAAUCCAAAAAACCCAAAGUAAAUAUAUGGAGCUACGAACAUUCCAUCAUCAUCUUCUUCAAGUGUUUAUGUUAUUAUCUUUGAUAAGCAAUUGUUACGCGAGAUUCGUGGUGGAAAAGAACAGCUUGACGGUAACAUCGCCGGAGAAGAUUAAAGGAACCCAUGAUAGUGCGAUUGGGAACUUUGGGAUACCUCAAUAUGGUGGAAGCAUGGCUGGUGUUGUGGUUUACCCUGAAGAAAACCAAAAAGCUUGUAAAAGCUUUGAUGACUUUUGGAUUUCGUUUAAAUCCAAGCCUGGUUCUCUUCCUACCUUUGUUUUGGUCGAUCGUGGAGGUACUCUAUUUUUUUUCCUCAAAAUUUUCGCCUUAUAAGAAAAAUUAAUCUGUGGUUUUGUUUAUUUGAGCUAUAAUUUGUUUGUUGUAGGGUUGAACGAUGAGGAAUUUUUGUGUUGUUUUAGCUAAUUUGAGUAAUUCCAAAUUGGGGAAUUUUUAAUAUUAGGUUUAAAGUUCAAUUUGUUGGAUUUGGUUUAUUUAUGGGGCAAUAAUUUAUUUGUUAGUUUGGGAUUUGAGGGUUAAUUGAUUUGGUUUUUCCAUCUACUUGGAUUUAUGUUAUUAUUUUUUAACUAAUUCAUUUAAAUAAAUUUAGCUUUAUCAGUUUCCAUUGAUUUCAUUAUCAUUAUUUAUAUAUUUAUUCAUUCAUUUAUGUAUUAAUAUACUUGUUUUCAGCUUUGCUUUAAGUUGUUUGGACGGAUGUCUUUUUCUCUUUUUAUCUUACUAGUUGUUUUCUGAAAUUAGGUCCACUCUUUUAGGUUCAUUUCCCUCCUUUCAUAGGGAUAUAGCCUUAGAGUUGUCUACAAAAGUAGAGCUAAGUUUCUCUGAUUCUUGGUUUUGCUUUAAGUACCAGUUUUAGACUCAAUAUCCGAACAUGUGUACGGUGAUAUGAUUUUUCAAAAUCCUUCUAGGUACAUGAAAAAAAUUUGAAUAUAUACGUGUCAAACACAUUCCUGUAUUUGAAAUUGAAACUCAUACCCGAGUCCAAGUGAACAUAUAUGUUUUGAGUAUGGUUGGUUCUCAAGGCAGAUGUAUGAUAAUAAAAAUGAAUUUCAAAAUGCUGGUUAUCCAAGAAUUUCGUAGUAAUGGCUUAUAGUUUUCUCCAGAUUGGAUAAAGUGGUUUAGAGCUAAGUUUCUCUGACUCUCAGUUUUGCCUGAAGUACCCGUUUUGGACUCAAUAUCGGAACAUAUGUGCGGUAAUAUGUCUUUUCAAAGAUCCUCUAGGUACAUGAAAAGAAAUUGAAUAUAUCAGUGUCAAACACAUACCUAUAUUUGAAACUCAUGCCCAAGUCCAAGUGAACAUAGAUUAAGAGUGUAUGAUUUGAGUUUGGUUGGUUCUUAAACAGAUGGAUGAUAAUAAAAAUGAGUUUCAAAAUAAUGGUGAUCUAAGCAUUUCGUAGUAAUGGAUUAGAUAAUUCAGUUACAUUACUACAAUGCAAUUACGCUGUUAAUGAUCCUCUGGAUAUCCGUUUGAAGUACCCGUUUUAGACUCAAUAUCCGAACAUGCAUAUGGGGACACAUGACUUUUCAAAGAUCCUCCAGAUACAUGAAAAACAAAAACAAACUUAUCCGUGUCAAACAUGUGCCUGCAUUUGAAACUCAUACCCGAGUCCGAGUGAACAUAGAUUUGAGUGUAUGAUUUGAGUUUGGUUGGUUCUCGAACAGAUGUAUGGUGAUAAAAAUGAGGUUCAAAAUGCUGGUUGAUCUAAGCCUAGGUAGUAAUGGCGUAUAGUUACUUCCGGAUUAGAUAAUUCAGUUACAUUACUAUAAUGUGAUUACACCGUUAAAGAGAUGAGAAAAAUCUGUAGCGUUGCCUAUAUACGGACUCCAGUUGCUGCUAAGGUUGUAAAAUUUGCUUAUUGUCCUUGAUUGAGUUAUGGUCUUCGAUGUAAUUUUUCUUUAGUUUUUGAUAUAUAUAUAUUUGCGGAGACUGCAUUUAGCGCCUUUUUUCUUAUUAUUUUUCAAGAUUGCUUCUUUGCUUUAAAGGUUUGGAAUGUAUGGCAAGCAGGUGCUUCUGCAGUGCUUGUUGCGGAUGAUAUUGAAGAAGCAUUAAUAACCAUGGACAAUCCUGAAGAGGACAGUUCAUCUGCCAAAUACAUUGAAAAUAUAACAAUUCCAUCUGCCCUUAUCGAGAAAACUUUUGGUGAAACUCUAACCCUGAUGAUCGUGACGAGUACGAGUUAUGAACCAACUGCAAUGAUGAACGUGGAGUUAAAUGUGAUAUGCUGAUGGCAUUUGUGAAGGAUUUCAAGGGUGCUUCUCAGAUUCUCGAAAAAGCUGGCUAUACGCAGUUCACACCCCAUUAUAUAACUUGGUACUUCUCUCAAGCUUUCACCCUAAGCCGACAGUGCAAAUCUCAAUGCAUCAACCGCGGAAGAUACUGUGCACCGGAUCCUGAACAAGGUUUUAGCUCAGGUUAUGAAGGGAAAGAUGUAGUUAUUGAGACCUUAAGGCAGCUUUUUGUUUUCAAAGUGGCAAAUGAUACUGGUCGAUCGUGGAGGUACUCUUUUUUCUGUUUUCUUUUUUGUCAAAAUUUUCGCCUUAUAAGAAAAAUUAAUUUGUGGUUUUGUUUAUUUGAGCUAUAAUUUGUUUGUUGUAGGGUUGACCGAUGAGGAAUUUUUGUGUUGUUUUAGCUAAUUUGAGUAAUUCCAAAUUGGGGAAUUUUUAAUAUUAGGUUUAAAGUUCAAUUUGUUGGAUUUGGUUUAUUUAUGGGGCAAUAAUUUAUUUGUUAGUUUGGGAUUUGAGGGUUAAUUGAUUUGGUUUUUCCAUCUACUUGGAUUUAUGUUACUAUUUUUUAACUAAUUCAUUUAAAUAAAUUUAGGUUUAUCAGUUUCCAUUGAUUUCAUUAUCAUUAUUUAUAUAUUUAUUCGUUCAUUUAUGUAUUAAUUUACUUGUUUUCAGCUUUGCUUUAAGUUGUUUGGACGGAUGUCUUUUUCUCUUUUUAUCUUACUAGUUGUUUUCUGAAAUUAGGUCCAUUCUUUUAGCUUCAUUUCCCUCCUUUCAUAGGGAUAUAGCCUUAGAGGUGUCUACAAAAGUAGAGCUAAGUUUCUCUGAUUCUUGGUUUUGCUUUAAGUACCAGUUUUAGACUCAAUAUCCGAACAUGUGUACGGUGAUAUGAUUUUUCAAAGAUCCUUCUAAGUAACAUAGGCGAGAGCUAGGCUUUUAGAAAUCUAGUGUAGUGUUUCAACUUACCGUCCAGUUGUUAUUUGAAACACCAGUGAUGGCGGUUAUUUUUUUCACAGAUGUGGAGACGAAUGAAUGCUUGGAAAAUAAUGGUGGUUGUUGGCAAGAUAAAACAGCAAAUCUCACAGCCUGCAGGGUAUGAAUCAAAACAUAUUUGAUAGGGGUUCUCUACUCCAUGAGCUUAUUUGAAUAUAUUGAUUUGCUUCUUAGGAUACAUUUCGAGGAAGAGUUUGUGAAUGUCUCUUGGUUGAUGGCGUGCAAUUCAAAGGAGAUGGAUACAGUCACUGUGAAGGUGAGAAUCAAGAUUUUAUUUGCACAGAUUAAGUGUUCAUUUGUGAUUCAUGUCUUAUGAGAAAGAAGAUUGACAAUUAGAAUAUUUGGAAUGGCUAGGAAGAAUUUAGAUUGUUAGGAAGAAUUCUAAAAAAAGGACAAGACAUUAAAGCAUUUUCCAUGUAGUUUGGCAUGACAAAUCCAUUUCAUGUUACUUUUGAUUACUUAUAGCUCUUAAUUUUGCAUUCAAUCAAAUUUUGGCAUUAUAGUUUGGCAUCUUAAUUUUACAUUCAAUAGGGCAGUUUGACAUGACAAUCAAAGUCUAUAUAAAACCUAUAUCAAGCAAUGCAAAACAAUCGUUAACAAAUCAAAUCAAAUCAAAUCAAAUAUAUACAUAAUGGGGGAGAAAUCAUGGGUGUUGAUGUUCUGUUUGCUGUUGUUGAUUCUUGUUAGGCCCUAACGUCAAGCUGUUACAGCACUCGCCCCGGUUGGAUUUGGGUAUGCGUUUUGUGGAACUACUUGCGUCGCCAACGGAACUUUCCUUGGGGAUUGUAUUCAACGUUGCCUGCCGUCAGAAGCACUAGUGGAGACUCAGGAGAAAAUCCACCUCACGAGCAGUUUCGUAUUCUGCAAUGUUGGGUUUGCUGCCAUGAUAUGAUCGAGGCUAAGCAGCCAAGGGAGAAUGCCUGCUAAUUUUUUUUUCCUUUUAUAUUAAUAUUUGAUGGUAAGUACGUAAGUAUAUUAACUUCACGAUUUAUUUUGUUUUUGUUAGCUGCAAGGGAAGUUGUAGGCUGCGUCAAUACCUGUAUAGGGAGAUGCGCCAUGAAUAAUUGAUGAUAAUCGCCUAUGCACGAAAUUAUAAUAAAAGGCCUUUAAUUACAUUUAGCCUGAAUGAAAAAAACAUAAUUUGGUUGCUGUUGUAUUUUCAGUUUUAUAUUU
Molecule: long non-coding RNA, 27900 nt
Filed under: Gossypium barbadense (sea-island cotton)
Lineage: Eukaryota; Viridiplantae; Streptophyta; Magnoliopsida; Malvales; Malvaceae
Description: long non-coding RNA (GBAR_LNC013366)
Source: RNAcentral